AAAAACUCCGGUGGUAUACGAUGGUUCCGCGUCUGAUUAGCUAGUUGGCGGGGUAACGGCCCACCAAGGCAGCGAUCAGUAGCCGGCCUGAGAGGGUGAACGGCCACAUUGGGACUGAGACACGGCCCAAACUCCUACGGGAGGCAGCAGUGAGGAAUAUUGGUCAAUGGACGCAAGUCUGAACCAGCCAUGCCGCGUGCAGGAAGACGGCUCUAUGAGUUGUAAACUGCUUUUGUACGAGGGUAAACGCAGAUACGUGUAUCUGUCUGAAAGUAUCGUACGAAUAAGGAUCGGCUAACUCCGUGCCAGCAGCCGCGGUAAUACGGAGGAUUCAAGCGUUAUCCGGAUUUAUUGGGUUUAAAGGGUGCGUAGGCGGUCGGAUAAGUUAGAGGUGAAAUCCCGGGGCUCAACUUCGGAAUUGCCUCUGAUACUGUUCGGCUAGAGAGUAGUUGCGGUAGGCGGAAUGUAUGGUGUAGCGGUGAAAUGCUUAGAGAUCAUACAGAACACCGAUUGCGAAGGCAGCUUACCAAGCUACUUCUGACGUUGAGGCACGAAAGCGUGGGGAGCAAACAGGAUUAGAUACCCUGGUAGUCCACGCAGUAAACGAUGAUAACUCGUUGUCGGCGAUACAUUGUUGGUGACUAAGCGAAAGCGAUAAGUUAUCCACCUGGGGAGUACGUUCGCAAGAAUGAAACUCAAAGGAAUUGACGGGGGC
RNAcentral lists this ribosomal RNA (715 nucleotides) under uncultured bacterium. Its description in RNAcentral is "bacterial SSU rRNA". It matches the Rfam family "Bacterial small subunit ribosomal RNA", at positions 202 to 920 of the family's 1533-position model. The record is from RNAcentral.